This 1708-nucleotide ribosomal RNA is filed under the name Escherichia coli. RNAcentral describes it as "partial 23S ribosomal RNA". It matches the Rfam family "Bacterial large subunit ribosomal RNA", at positions 139 to 1869 of the family's 2925-position model. Lineage: Bacteria; Pseudomonadati; Pseudomonadota; Gammaproteobacteria; Enterobacterales; Enterobacteriaceae. The record is from RNAcentral.
UUCGUCACACUAUCAUUAACUGAAUCCAUAGGUUAAUGAGGCGAACCGGGGGAACUGAAACAUCUAAGUACCCCGAGGAAAAGAAAUCAACCGAGAUUCCCCCAGUAGCGGCGAGCGAACGGGGAGCAGCCCAGAGCCUGAAUCAGUGUGUGUGUUAGUGGAAGCGUCUGGAAAGGCGCGCGAUACAGGGUGACAGCCCCGUACACAAAAAUGCACAUACUGUGAGCUCGAUGAGUAGGGCGGGACACGUGGUAUCCUGUCUGAAUAUGGGGGGACCAUCCUCCAAGGCUAAAUACUCCUGACUGACCGAUAGUGAACCAGUACCGUGAGGGAAAGGCGAAAAGAACCCCGGCGAGGGGAGUGAAAAAGAACCUGAAACCGUGUACGUACAAGCAGUGGGAGCACAGAGCAAUCUGUGUGACUGCGUACCUUUUGUAUAAUGGGUCAGCGACUUAUAUUCUGUAGCAAGGUUAACCGAAUAGGGGAGCCGAAGGGAAACCGAGUCUUAACUGGGCGUUAAGUUGCAGGGUAUAGACCCGAAACCCGGUGAUCUAGCCAUGGGCAGGUUGAAGGUUGGGUAACACUAACUGGAGGACCGAACCGACUAAUGUUGAAAAAUUAGCGGAUGACUUGUGGCUGGGGGUGAAAGGCCAAUCAAACCGGGAGAUAGCUGGUUCUCCCCGAAAGCUAUUUAGGUAGCGCCUCGUGAAUUCAUCUCCGGGGGUAGAGCACUGUUUCGGCAAGGGGGUCAUCCCGACUUACCAACCCGAUGCAAACUGCGAAUACCGGAGAAUGUUAUCACGGGAGACACACGGCGGGUGCUAACGUCCGUCGUGAAGAGGGAAACAACCCAGACCGCCAGCUAAGGUCCCAAAGUCAUGGUUAAGUGGGAAACGAUGUGGGAAGGCCCAGACAGCCAGGAUGUUGGCUUAGAAGCAGCCAUCAUUUAAAGAAAGCGUAAUAGCUCACUGGUCGAGUCGGCCUGCGCGGAAGAUGUAACGGGGCUAAACCAUGCACCGAAGCUGCGGCAGCGACGCUUAUGCGUUGUUGGGUAGGGGAGCGUUCUGUAAGCCUGCGAAGGUGUGCUGUGAGGCAUGCUGGAGGUAUCAGAAGUGCGAAUGCUGACAUAAGUAACGAUAAAGCGGGUGAAAAGCCCGCUCGCCGGAAGACCAAGGGUUCCUGUCCAACGUUAAUCGGGGCAGGGUGAGUCGACCCCUAAGGCGAGGCCGAAAGGCGUAGUCGAUGGGAAACAGGUUAAUAUUCCUGUACUUGGUGUUACUGCGAAGGGGGGACGGAGAAGGCUAUGUUGGCCGGGCGACGGUUGUCCCGGUUUAAGCGUGUAGGCUGGUUUUCCAGGCAAAUCCGGAAAAUCAAGGCUGAGGCGUGAUGACGAGGCACUACGGUGCUGAAGCAACAAAUGCCCUGCUUCCAGGAAAAGCCUCUAAGCAUCAGGUAACAUCAAAUCGUACCCCAAACCGACACAGGUGGUCAGGUAGAGAAUACCAAGGCGCUUGAGAGAACUCGGGUGAAGGAACUAGGCAAAAUGGUGCCGUAACUUCGGGAGAAGGCACGCUGAUAUGUAGGUGAAGUCCCUCGCGGAUGGAGCUGAAAUCAGUCGAAGAUACCAGCUGGCUGCAACUGUUUAUUAAAAACACAGCACUGUGCAAACACGAAAGUGGACGUAUACGGUGUGACGCCUGCCCGGUGC